Molecule: ribosomal RNA, 500 nt
Filed under: Holotrichia diomphalia
Lineage: Eukaryota; Metazoa; Arthropoda; Insecta; Coleoptera; Scarabaeidae
Description: partial 16S ribosomal RNA
Rfam family: Bacterial large subunit ribosomal RNA
Source: RNAcentral
UUUGAUUAUAAUUUAAAGUCUGACCUGCCCAAUGAGGAGUUAAAUGGCCGCGGUAAUUUGACCGUGCAAAGGUAGCAUAAUCAUUAGUUUUUUAAUUGAAAGCUGGUAUGAAUGGUUGGACGAGAGAGCAACUGUCUCAAUUUAAUUGAUUUAAAAUUUUAUCUUUAAGUUAAAAAGCUUAAAUAAAUUUAAAAGACGAGAAGACCCUAUAGAGUUUUAUAUAUAUGUAUAUAUGAAGAGUUUAGAAUUUAUUAUUUAUAGAUUUAUAUGUAUUUUGUUGGGGUGACAAAAAAAUUAAAUGAACUUUUUUUAUAUUUUAUCAUUAAUGUAUGAUUAAGUGAUCCGUUAUUAACGAUUAAAAGAUUAAAUUACCUUAGGGAUAACAGCGUAAUUCUUUUUAAGAGUUCUUAUCGAAAGAAGAGUUUGCGACCUCGAUGUUGGAUUAAAAUUUAUUUUUGGUGUAGAAGCUAAAAUAUUAGGUCUGUUCGACCUUUGAAAUU